Molecule: transfer RNA, 72 nt
Rfam family: tRNA
About the family: Transfer RNA (tRNA) molecules are approximately 80 nucleotides in length. Their secondary structure includes four short double-helical elements and three loops (D, anti-codon, and T loops). Further hydrogen bonds mediate the characteristic L-shaped molecular structure. tRNAs have two regions of fundamental functional importance: the anti-codon, which is responsible for specific mRNA codon recognition, and the 3' end, to which the tRNAs corresponding amino acid is attached (by aminoacyl-tRNA synthetases). tRNAs cope with the degeneracy of the genetic code in two manners: having more than one tRNA (with a specific anti-codon) for a particular amino acid; and 'wobble' base-pairing, i.e. permitting non-standard base-pairing at the 3rd anti-codon position.
Source: Rfam
GGGCUCGUAGCUCAGUGGGAGAGCGCUGCCCUUGCAAGGCGGAGGCCGUGGGUUCAAAUCCCGCCGAGUCCA